Non-coding RNA from Acanthosepion pharaonis, 106 nucleotides. Lineage: Eukaryota; Metazoa; Mollusca; Cephalopoda; Sepiida; Sepiidae. The record is from the annotation of a GenBank genome assembly.
AUAUCAUGUUCAAACACCUGUUCCCGUACGAUCACCGAAUUUAAGCAACGCCGAGCCUGGUCAGUACCUAGAUGAGUGACCUCUCGGGAAUACCAGGUUCUGUAAG